GAUGAAGAACGUAGCGAAAUGCGAUACUUGGUGUGAAUUGCAGAAUCCCGUGAACCAUCGAGUCUUUGAACGCAAGUUGCGCCCGAAGCCACUAGGCCGAGGGCACGCCUGCCUGGGCGUCACACGUCGUUCCCCCCCCAUCUACUCCUUCGGGAUUGCGGGGGGCGGAUGAUGGCCUCCCGUGCGCCUCGCCGCGCGGUUGGCAUAAAUACCAAGUCCUCGGCGACGCACGCCACGACAAUCGGUGGUUGCGAAACCUCGGUUGCCCGUCGUGUGCGUUCGUCGCGCAUCGAGGGCUCGAAAAAAUGCUCGGCUCCGGCUCGGCUUUCAACGCGACCCCAGGUCAGGCGGGGUUACCCGCUGAAUUUAAGCAUAUCAAUAAGCGGAGGA
Molecule: unclassified non-coding RNA, 390 nt
Filed under: soil metagenome
Description: partial contains 5.8S ribosomal RNA, internal transcribed spacer 2, and large subunit ribosomal RNA
Rfam family: 5.8S ribosomal RNA (bases 1-122)
Source: RNAcentral